AUACGGAGGGUGCAAGCGUUACUCGGAAUCACUGGGCGUAAAGCGCGGGCAGGCGGCUAUUUAAGUUGGAUGUGAGAGCCUACGGCUCAACCGUAGAACUGCAUCCAAAACUAUUUAGCUAGAGUGUGGGAGAGGAAGAUGGAAUUAGUUGUGUAGGGGUAAAAUCCGUAGAGAUAACUAGGAAUACCAAAAGCGAAGGCAAUCUUCAGGAACACUACUGACGCUGAGGCGCGAAAGCGUGGGGAGCAAACAGGAUUAGAAACCCUAGUAGUCC
This 274-nucleotide ribosomal RNA is filed under the name uncultured bacterium. Its description in RNAcentral is "partial 16S ribosomal RNA". It matches the Rfam family "Bacterial small subunit ribosomal RNA", at positions 523 to 796 of the family's 1533-position model. The record is from RNAcentral.